UGAACGCACAUUGCGCCCAUUAGUAUUCUAGUGGGCAUGCCUGUUCGAGCGUCAUUUCAACCCUUAAGCCCACUGUUGCUUAGCGUUGGGAGCCUACAGCCUGCUGUAGCUCCUUAAAGGUAGUGGCGGAGUCGGUUCACACUCUAGACGUAGUAAAAUCUUUAUCUCGCCUAUAGAUGAGCCGGCGCCUUGCCGUAAAACCCCUAAUCUUUCACAAGGUUGACCUCGGAUCAGGUAGGAAUACCCGCUGAACUUAAGCAUAUCAAUAAGCGGAGGAAAAGAAACCAACAGGGAUUGCCCUAGUAACGGCGAGUGAAGCGGCAACAGCUCAAAUUUGAAAUCUGGCCUUCGGGUCCGAGUUGUAAUUUGCAGAGGAUGCUUUGGGCGCGGUGCCUUCCGAGUUCCCUGGAACGGGACGCCUUAGAGGGUGAGAGCCCCGUACGGUUGGACACCAAGCCUCUGUAAAGCUCCUUCGACGAGUCGAGUAGUUUGGGAAUGCUGCUCUAAAUGGGAGGUAAAUUUCUUCUAAAGCUAAAUAUUGGCCAGAGACCGAUAGCGCACAAGUAGAGUGAUCGAAAGAUGAAAAGCACUUUGAAAAGAGGGUUAAAUAGCACGUGAAAUUGUUGAAAGGGAAGCGUUUGCGACCAGACCUUUUCCCAGCGGAUCAUCCGGUGUUCUCACCGGUGCACUUCGCUGGGUUGAGGCCAGCAUCGGUUUCCGCAGGGGGAUAAAAGCUUGGGGAACGUAGCUCCCUCGGGAGUGUUAUAGCCCCUCGCAUAAUACCCUUGCGGGGACCGAGGACCGCGCU
This 808-nucleotide ribosomal RNA is filed under the name Xylaria sp. genotype 459. RNAcentral's name for it is "eukaryotic LSU rRNA". The stretch from base 221 to 808 matches the Rfam family "Eukaryotic large subunit ribosomal RNA", at positions 1 to 599 of the family's 3401-position model. Lineage: Eukaryota; Fungi; Ascomycota; Sordariomycetes; Xylariales; Xylariaceae. The record is from RNAcentral.